UGUAUAUAGCCUCCACAUUGACUCUGUACCGGUACCACCUGUAUAUAGCCUCCGCAUUGACUCUGUACCAGUACCCCCUGUAUAUAGCCUCCACAUUGACUCUGUACCGGUACCCCCUGUAUAUAGCCUCCACAUUGACUCUGUACCAGUACUCCUGUAUAUAGCCUCCACAUUGACUCUGUACCCCUGUAUAUAGCCUCCACAUUGACUCUGCACCAGUACUCCUGUAUAUAGCCUCCACAUUGACUCUGUACCAGUACCCCUGUAUAUAGCCUCCACAUUGACUCUGUACCAGUACCCCUGUAUAUAGCCUCCACAUUGACU
Molecule: long non-coding RNA, 324 nt
Organism: Oncorhynchus tshawytscha (Chinook salmon)
Lineage: Eukaryota; Metazoa; Chordata; Actinopteri; Salmoniformes; Salmonidae
Source: Ensembl